AUAUGUUUUCACUUUUCGCGUUUCAGGAGUUUUCUCGUAGACCCACUGUGACAGGUUGUCCGGGAGGCUUCCAGAAAUUCGAGCUUGGGACAAGUGUUUCAGUGAGAAAAAAAAAGAACGUUUUAGUUUUUUUUCUUCUUGGGUCAUUGACACAUGUUGACUUGGCCAGUUUUCCCGGCGAUGGGAAUGUGAAGCAUAAAUGUUUGUAAUUUCAUUGAAUUUUCGGGUGUAGGGACUUGGGAGUUUCUCGUCAGUUUAGAGGAGUGGUUUUAAUCGUAUUGUCAAUAAAUGCACGGUGGCUAUUUGCGAGAUUGAUGGAGGUCUGAAUGAAACGAGGAAGUUUUCCUCGAGUGAAGAACAACAGAUUUCUCAAGGCUAACUACAACCACCGUUGUCUAUUUAUACUAGACUGCACCCACACGUUUGCUCUCUCUUGGACUCCAGCGUGUGCUGGUUCAAACAUCGUAUCCGGAUGAGGUGUCUUCUCCAGCGGAACCAGAGGGAUCGUCUGGAAGGGUAUAUACAGAGAGAUUGUCUCUACUCGAAAACCUUAAAACAUCCGGAGCAGAAGUCUCUGUGUUAUGAUGGUGAAACCCCCCGGGUGCUGGACGAAGGGGUGUCCAGGCGGCUGGACGGGCUGGACACACGGCACGACAGAGCACCACGUGCGAACGCAAAUCACCAGCUGCCUCAGUAUCCAGACCCUGAACAUCUAAAAUUAGCGCAGUUUGCUUUCUUCCACUCACUUGAACAAUUUUUUUUUUUCAAUCGGUAGACGAAAAUCACUUUGUUUUAUUUUUCAUUCAAGGAAGCCAUCCGAUCUAUUCUUAAUUUAGGUUAAUUCCUUGACGAGUUGUUAUUAAUUCUGGGGGGAAGUGGUGAAAGACAGGAGAUGUGCGGAAAAUUCCACACGAAUUAUUUUAAGAAUAUCUCGGAACAAAAUAUCAAAGAAUUUUUAGUGAUUUAGAUUAAGUCUACGGAAAAAUUCUCACGACGUUUUAUCAAUAGGAGGUAGCCAAAAUUAAAUACCCACAUUAUA
Molecule: long non-coding RNA, 1039 nt
Organism: Fopius arisanus
Lineage: Eukaryota; Metazoa; Arthropoda; Insecta; Hymenoptera; Braconidae
Exons: 2
Source: RefSeq, a predicted model, not a curated record